GAUGAACGCUGGCGGCGUGCUUAACACAUGCAAGUCGAACGGAAAGGCCCAAGCUUGCUUGGGUACUCGAGUGGCGAACGGGUGAGUAACACGUGGGUGAUCUGCCCUGCACUUCGGGAUAAGCCUGGGAAACUGGGUCUAAUACUGGAUAGGACCACUUCUUGGAUGGUGUGGUGGAAAGUUUUUUCGGUGUGGGAUGAGCUCGCGGCCUAUCAGCUUGUUGGUGGGGUAAUGGCCUACCAAGGCGUCGACGGGUAGCCGGCCUGAGAGGGUGUACGGCCACAUUGGGACUGAGAUACGGCCCAGACUCCUACGGGAGGCAGCAGUGGGGAAUAUUGCACAAUGGGCGCAAGCCUGAUGCAGCGACGCCGCGUGGGGGAUGACGGCCUUCGGGUUGUAAACUCCUUUCGCUAGGGACGAAGCGUUUUUGUGACGGUACCUGGAGAAGAAGCACCGGCUAACUACGUG
Molecule: ribosomal RNA, 468 nt
Filed under: uncultured bacterium
Lineage: Bacteria
Description: partial 16S ribosomal RNA
Rfam family: Bacterial small subunit ribosomal RNA
Source: RNAcentral